AUAAGCCACCGAAAGGUGGUCUAAUACUUCAUAAUAUCCAUCUCGUAUGGAUUAAAGCUUUAUGCGCUUUGGAGGGGCCUGCGUAACAUUAGCUAGUUGGUGAGGGUUAAAAAGCUCACCAAGGCUUCGAUGUUUAACUGGUUUGAGAGGAUGACCAGUCACACUGGGACUGAGAUACGGCCCAGACUCCUACGGGAGGCAGCAGUAAGGAAUCUUCCACAAUGGGGGCAACCCUGAUGGAGCAAUACCGCGUGCAGGAUGAAGCGUUUCGGCGUGUAAACUGCUUUAUCACCGAAGAUUAUGACUGUAGGUGAAGAAUAAGGACCGGCUAACUACGUG
RNAcentral lists this ribosomal RNA (339 nucleotides) under uncultured bacterium. RNAcentral describes it as "bacterial SSU rRNA". It matches the Rfam family "Bacterial small subunit ribosomal RNA", at positions 143 to 507 of the family's 1533-position model. The record is from RNAcentral.